AGACCCGAAACCCGGUGAUCUAGCCAUGGGCAGGUUGAAGGUUGGGUAACACUAACUGGAGGACCGAACCGACUAAUGUUGAAAAAUUAGCGGAUGACCUGUGGCUGGGGGUGAAAGGCCAAUCAAACCGGGAGAUAGCUGGUUCUCCCCGAAAGCUAUUUAGGUAGCGCCUCGUGAAUUCAUCUCCGGGGGUAGAGCACUGUUUCGGCUAGGGGGCCAUCCCGGCUUACCAACCCGAUGCAAACUGCGAAUACCGGAGAAUGUUAUCACGGGAGACACACGGCGGGUGCUAACGUCCGUCGUGAAGAGGGAAACAACCCAGACCGCCAGCUAAGGUCCCAAAGUCAUGGUUAAGUGGGAAACGAUGUGGGAAGGCCCAGACAGCCAGGAUGUUGGCUUAGAAGCAGCCAUCAUUUAAAGAAAGCGUAAUAGCUCACUGGUCGAGUCGGCCUGCGCGGAAGAUGUAACGGGGCUAAACCAUGCACCGAAGCUGCGGCAGCGAACGUAUCACCCAAGACAACUUUACGGAGUUGACGAUUGACGGAGCGAAGCGACGUCAAAGCGUUCAUUAAAGUCGAGUUGGCUUAGGGAUACGUUCGUUGGGUAGGGGAGCGUUCUGUAAGCCUGUGAAGGUGUGUCGUGAGGCAUGCUGGAGGUAUCAGAAGUGCGAAUGCUGACAUAAGUAACGAUAAAGCGGGUGAAAAGCCCGCUCGCCGGAAGACCAAGGGUUCCUGUCCAACGUUAAUCGGGGCAGGGUGAGUCGACCCCUAAGGCGAGGCCGAAAGGCGUAGUCGAUGGGAAACGGGUUAAUAUUCCCGUACUUGGUGUUACUGCGAAGGGGGGACGGAGAAGGCUAUGUUGGCCGGGCGACGGUUGUCCCGGUUUAAGGGUGUAGGUGUGUGUUCCAGGUAAAUCCGGUUCACUUUAACACUGAGGCGUGACGACGAGGCACUACGGUGCUGAAGCAACAAAUGCCCUGCUUCCAGGAAAAGCCUCUAAGCAUCAGGUAACACGAAAUCGUACCCCAAACCGAC
Molecule: ribosomal RNA, 1034 nt
Filed under: Salmonella enterica subsp. enterica serovar Typhimurium
Lineage: Bacteria; Pseudomonadati; Pseudomonadota; Gammaproteobacteria; Enterobacterales; Enterobacteriaceae
Description: partial 23S ribosomal RNA
Rfam family: Bacterial large subunit ribosomal RNA
Source: RNAcentral